This 395-nucleotide ribosomal RNA is filed under the name uncultured bacterium. Its description in RNAcentral is "partial 16S ribosomal RNA". It matches the Rfam family "Bacterial small subunit ribosomal RNA", at positions 355 to 741 of the family's 1533-position model. The record is from RNAcentral.
UGGGGAAUUUUGGACAAUGGGCGAAAGCCUGAUCCAGCAAUGCCGCGUGUGUGAAGAAGGCCUUCGGGUUGUAAAGCACUUUUGUCCGGAAAGAAAUCCUUGGCUCUAAUACAGUCGGGGGAUGACGGUACCGGAAGAAUAAGCACCGGCUAACUACGUGCCAGCAGCCGCGGUAAUACGUAGGGGUGCAAGCGUUAAUCGGAAUUACUGGGCGUAAAGCGUGCGCAGGCGGUUUGCUAAGACCGAUGUGAAAUCCCCGGGCUCAACCUGGGAACUGCUUGGUGACUGGCAGGCUAGAGUAUGGCAGAGGGGGGUAGAAUUCCACGUNUAGCAGUGGAAAUGCGUAGAGAUGUGGAGGAAUACCGAUGGCGAAGGCAGCCCCCUGGGCCAAUACU